Molecule: ribosomal RNA, 403 nt
Filed under: uncultured Acetobacterium sp.
Lineage: Bacteria; Bacillati; Bacillota; Clostridia; Eubacteriales; Eubacteriaceae
Description: bacterial SSU rRNA
Rfam family: Bacterial small subunit ribosomal RNA
Source: RNAcentral
GGGGAAUAUUGCGCAAUGGGGAAACCCCUACGGAGCAAAAACGCGGGGGUGGAGAAAGGUUUCGGGUCGUAAAGGCCCGUUAAUGGGGGAGGAAAAAAGAAGGGACCCAAACAAGAAAGCCCGGCCAACCACCUGCCAGCAGCCGCGGUAAUACGUAGGGGACAAGCGUUGUCCGGAUUUACCUGGGCGUAAAGGGCACGCAGGCGGUUUUUUAAGUCAGAUGUGAAAGGUACCGGCUCAACCGGUGACAUGCAUUUGAAACUGAAAGACUUGAGUAUUGGAGAGGCAAGUGGAAUUCCUAGUGUAGCGGUGAAAUGCGUAGAUAUUAGGAGGAACACCGGUGGCGAAGGCGGCUUGCUGGACAAAUACUGACGCUGAGGUGCGAAAGCGUGGGGAGCAAACA